AGUGAACGCUGGCGGUAGGCCUAACACAUGCAAGUCGAACGGCAGCACAGUAAGAUCUUGCUCUUACGGGUGGCGAGUGGCGGACGGGUGAGGAAUACAUCGGAAUCUACUUUUUCGUGGGGGAUAACGUAGGGAAACUUACGCUAAUACCGCAUACGACCUACGGGUGAAAGCAGUGGAGCUUCGGACCUUGCGCGAUUGAAUUAGCCGAUGUCGGAUUAGCUAGUUGGCGAGGUAAGGGCCCACCAAGGCGACGAUCCGUAGCUGGUCUGAGAGGAUGAUCAGCCACACUGGAACUGAGACACGGUCCAGACUCCUACGGGAGGCAGCAGUGGGGAAUAUUGGACAAUGGGCGAAAGCCUGAUCCAGCCAUACCGCGUGGGUGAAGAAGGCCUUCGGGUUGUAAAGCCCUUUUGUUGGGAAAGAAAAGCAGCAGGUUAAUACCCCGCUGUUCUGACGGUACCCAAAGAAUAAGCACCGGCUAACUUCGUG
This 492-nucleotide ribosomal RNA is filed under the name uncultured bacterium. Its description in RNAcentral is "partial 16S ribosomal RNA". It matches the Rfam family "Bacterial small subunit ribosomal RNA", at positions 29 to 507 of the family's 1533-position model. The record is from RNAcentral.